This 612-nucleotide long non-coding RNA is filed under the name Marmota monax (woodchuck). The record is from RNAcentral. Lineage: Eukaryota; Metazoa; Chordata; Mammalia; Rodentia; Sciuridae.
UUUGAGGCUAUUGUGAAUGAGGUAGUUUUUUCUAAUUUCUCUUUCAGAGGAUUCAUCACUGAUGUAGAGAAGUGAAUUUGAUUUAUGAGUAUUGAUUUUAUAUCCUGCUACUUUGAUGAAUUCAUUAAUUAAUUCUAGAAGUUUUCUGGUGGAAUUUUUUGGAUCCUCUAAGUAUAUAAUCAUGUUGUCAGCAAAUAAUGAGAGUUUGAGUUCUUCUUUUCCUAUUUGUACCCCUUUAAUUUCUUUCUUCUGUCUAAUUGCACUGGCUAUAGUUUCAAGGACUAUGUUGAAUAGAAGUGGUGAAAGAGAGCAUCCCUGUCUUGUUCCAGUUUUUAGAGGGAAUGCUUCCAUUUUUCUACAUUUAGAAUGAUGUUGGCCUUGGGUUUAGCACAGCUAGCUUUUACAAUGUUGAGGUAUGUUCUUAUUAUCCCUAGUUUUUCUAGUUUUUCAAACAUGAAAAUGUGCUGUACUUAGUCAAAUGAUUUCUCUGCAUCAAUUGAUAUAAUCAUAUAAUUUUAUCUUUAAGUAUAUUGAUGCAAUAAUUCUAUUUAUUGAUUUCUGUAUGCUGAACCAAACUUCAUCCCUGGAAUGAACCCCACUUGAUCAUGGUGC